Molecule: ribosomal RNA, 317 nt
Filed under: uncultured bacterium
Lineage: Bacteria
Description: bacterial SSU rRNA
Rfam family: Bacterial small subunit ribosomal RNA
Source: RNAcentral
GAUUAGGGGGCGAGCGUUGUCCGAAGUUACUGGGCGUAAAGCGCGCGUAGGCGGUUAUUCAAGUCUGGGGUGAAAGGUUCAGCGCUCAACGUGAACAGUGCCUUGGAUACUGGAUGACUUGAGUCUGGAAGGGGGAAGGGGAAUUCCUGGUGUAGCGGUGAAAUGCGUAUUAUAUCAGGAGGAACACCGGUGGCGAAGGCGCCUUCCUGGUCUAAGACUGACGCUGAGGUGCGAAAGCGUGGGGAGCAAACGGGAUUAGAUACCCCGGUAGUCCACGCCGUAAACGAUGAGUUGCUAGGUGUCCGGGGUAUCUACCC